CUUAACAAAAUAAGAUUAUUGUAGCAGUAAGGUGGAUGUGUUUUAGACAGUAGGUGGAUGUGUUUUGGACAGUAGGUGGAUGUGUUUUGGACAGUAGGUGGAUGUGUUUUGGACAGUAGGUGGAUGUGUUUUGGACAGUAGGUGGAUGUGUUUUGGACAGUAGGUGGAUGUGUUUUGGACAGUAGGUGGAUGUGUUUUGGACAGUAGGUGGAUGUGUUUUGGACAGUAGGUGGAUGUGUUUUGGACAGUAGGUGGAUGUGUUUUGGGCAGUAGGUGGAUGUGUUUUGGACAGUAGGUGGAUGUGUUUUGGACAGUAGGUGGAUGUGUUUUGGGCAGUAGGUGGAUGUGUUUUAGACAGUAGGUGGAUGUGUUUUGGACAGUAGGUGGAUGUGUUUUGGACAGUAGGUGGAUGUGUUUUGGGCAGUAGGUGGAUGUGUUUUGGACAGUAGGUGGAUGUGUUUUGG
Molecule: long non-coding RNA, 464 nt
Organism: Homarus americanus (American lobster)
Lineage: Eukaryota; Metazoa; Arthropoda; Malacostraca; Decapoda; Nephropidae
Exons: 3
Source: RefSeq, a predicted model, not a curated record